This 253-nucleotide ribosomal RNA is filed under the name uncultured bacterium. Its description in RNAcentral is "partial 16S ribosomal RNA". It matches the Rfam family "Bacterial small subunit ribosomal RNA", at positions 524 to 776 of the family's 1533-position model. The record is from RNAcentral.
UACGAAGGGGGCUAGCGUUGUUCGGAAUUACUGGGCGUAAAGGGCGCGUAGGCGGCCAACUAAGUCAGACGUGAAAUCCCCAGGCUUAACCUGGGAACUGCGUCUGAUACUGGAUGGCUUGAAUUCGGGAGAGGGAUGCAGAAUUCCAGGUGUAGCGGUGAAAUGCGUAGAUAUCUGGAGGAAUACCGGUGGCGAAGGCGGCAUCCUGGACCGACAUUGACGCUGAGGAGCGAAAGCUAGGGGAGCAAACGGG